CUGUGUCCCCUGCAUUCUAGCUCAGUGCAUAACAGCAAAAACCCAAGCACAUCAGGCUUCAGUUGGAUGCCAUUGAGUUAGCAGCAAUGCCUCAGAUUGGCCUUUGGAAGCAAGAAUCAAACUGGCAAUAGAAAAACAGACAUUUCAAUGCCUGCCCCUCUUUUUUGUCACUUACUGUUCAGGUUCUUAUCAGGCAGAGGUCAGAACAAGAUUACAGCCCUCUCCCCCAGAACACACAGACACACAUACACUUGUCCUGAAUUUUACAGGGUCUCUUAUGCAUACUUCGCAAUACAAACCACCAGAAAGUCCAAGGGACAAGAGAUCUAGUUGUGAGAGACUUGCCAAUCACAACCACCAACCCUGAGGGCUUCCUUAGCACCUCUUACUGAGCUGGAGACUCACCUGGAUGAAAAAGUGGUUUAAGACCUUUUGAUCCUUAUCAGCUGAACCUGACAUAAAGGAACUUCCCUGGAGUCCUCUAACCCCUACUAAGAUUGUUCUCCUGACAAGAGGAGUGGAUCGGUGUUUAAAGGGAAUCUAAGUGGAAGAAAGAUAAGGUUUUUCAGCCCCUGUUCUGUGUCAAAUGGCAAACCUGCCUUCGGAGAGUUCAGUCUCCCUGGGGAGACAGGACUACAAACUUGAACAAUUUUAAGUCAAGACAGCACAGGUUUUAAAAAGUCCUGCACCACACGGUUUGGAAAACGGGGCCUUUGUUUUCAGCAAGGGACGGACUCUUGCCUUUCCGGCAGCACCGAGUAUUCCACGGCGAAGGGGCCCCCUAGUUGCAAGAGCACAUCGCCACUGGAGGGGAAGCACCAGGCUCGGGAGAAAGUCUCUCAGACCAGCAUUCCAACGGAGGCAGCACCUCUGUAAAUACAAGGAAAGAAAGGCGAGGAGAGCGAGAGGAGCUCUCAAAUUGGGGUGGGGGUGGGGUGGAAGGAGUGAAAUGUGUCCGCAAAGGGAAAACUGGGGACUCCUACACCUCCUCAGAGGAGCCGGUCCCCCCAAGCUGAGGCCCAACCGCGGCUUGGGGUCUGGCUUGCUGGUCAGGAUGUAGCUUUUCCCCUAGCAGCGUUUUACAUGUUCAGACAAAAAGGAUAUCCCGAAACGGAGCUGCCAACCGACCUAAUCAGGCUAGUUUGGAAGAGUUGAAAGCAGGUCUAGGUGGAGAAGAAAGAACGAGAACAGGAACUGGUCAUGGAGACACGUUGCUGCGUUAGCCCAAGUUUGCUAGGGAACACCCCCCCCCCCGUGCAAAUCACAAAAAGAACAGGCAGG
RNAcentral lists this long non-coding RNA (1281 nucleotides) under Equus caballus (horse). Its description in RNAcentral is "lncRNA (ENSECAG00000043941.1)". The record is from RNAcentral. Lineage: Eukaryota; Metazoa; Chordata; Mammalia; Perissodactyla; Equidae.